Molecule: long non-coding RNA, 319 nt
Filed under: Mytilus galloprovincialis (Mediterranean mussel)
Lineage: Eukaryota; Metazoa; Mollusca; Bivalvia; Mytilida; Mytilidae
Source: RNAcentral
GCUGGAUCUAUUUACCCUUCCGGAGCAGCUGAGAUCACCCCAAGUUUUUGGUGAGGUUCGUGUUGCUCAGCCUUUAGUUUAUAUGUUGCAUUUUGUGUACAAUUGUUUGUCUGUUUGUCUUUUGGUCUUUUUGACCUUUUCUUUUUUAGUCAUGGCUUUGACGGUUUGUUUUCGACUUUUGAGCUUGAAUAACCCUUUGGUAUUUUCGCCUAUCUUUGUAUGUUUUCUACUAUAGUAAAACAGCAUACUGAAUGAGUGACACUAUUUGCAAUUGUAAUAUUAUGAAAUAAAAGUCACGGCUGCUUGAGAGGAAUUGAAU